AUUCAGAAUUCUUUGCAUCAUCAUGCGGAUAUCUGUCAAAUUACAACAAAAUGAUUGUUUGAGCUUCCGAGAUAUGGAAUUUUUACAUUCUUAUGGAGGAUUCAAACUGGCAUGCCACGUUUUAGCAUAUUGUGCAGAUGCUUGUAUGUCAAGAAUUUAUAAAACUCAUAAUUGAAAUUUCAUUUAGGCUAAUUUCUUCCAUUAUUCACUGUCGUAAUCAGUUUUUUUGGCAAAUGCGAACUUAUUGUCUUACAGUAUGUGCACAAGGAUAGUACUUAGUGCGACAGAAAUUGAUGCAAGUACUGCAUGAAAAUUUUCAGGAAUGUGGAUAAGUUGUAGCAUUCAUACAGGGUAACAUGUGAUCAAUUUGUGAAAAGAACCAAAUCAAUUGUAACAAAAUUUGUGAAAAGAACCAAAAAUAUUCCCUGCAAUAUGUGUGCAUGGAAAUGUCUAUGUUUGUGUUGUUGAGGGUGAUAUAAUUAGUGCAAAAGACUUUCGUAUACAUGUAAAUCGUUUCAUUUAGUUAAAUUACCUUUCAGUGUUUUCAAAUUUGGUUGCAAAAAUACUAUUAGCAAUGGAUUUUCAUAGGAACUAUUAAUAGAUCAUUACUUUUAUAGUUUUUAUAUCAUGAAGUAUUGCAUAGAAGCUUGUCCACUCAAAGGGGUGGGGGUG
This 672-nucleotide unclassified non-coding RNA is filed under the name Hevea brasiliensis (rubber tree). Lineage: Eukaryota; Viridiplantae; Streptophyta; Magnoliopsida; Malpighiales; Euphorbiaceae. The record is from RNAcentral.